UGGGUGAAAAAUGAGCGAAAAAUGAGUGAGAAAUGGGGUAAAAUGAGCGGCUCCCGCGGGGGAUUCGAGCGCGGCUCCCGCGGCGCCUCCAUGGGGUGGGUACAGGAAAUAUCAACCAAAAUGGGGGAAAAACACCCAAAUUGGGGAAAAAUGGGGAGAAAAGGUGAAAAUUGGGUGAAAAACGAGUGAGAAAUGGGGGUAAAAUGAGUGAGAAAUGGGGGAAAAUGACAGAGAAAUGAGCAAGAAAUGGGUGAAAAAUGAGCGAGAAAUCAGGGAAAAAUGGGUGAAACAUGAGCCAGAAAUGAGUGAAAAAUUGGGAAAAAAUGGGGAGAAAAGGGGAAAAAUGGGGAGAAAAGGGUGAAAAUUGGGUGAAAAACGAGUGAGAAAUGGGGGUAAAAUGAGCGGCUCCCGCGGGGGAUUCGAACGCGGCUCCCGCGGCGCCUCCAUGGGGUGGGUACAGAAAAUGUAAACCAAAAUGGGGCAAAAACACCCAAAUUGGGGAAAAAUGGGGAGAAAUGGGCAAAAAUUGGGUGAAAAACGAGUGAGAAAUGGGGUAAAAUGAGCGGCUCCCGCGGGGGAUUCGAGCGCUGCUCCCGCGGCGCCUCCAUGGGGUGGGUACAGAAAAAAUAACCCAAAAUGGGGCAAAAAAUAGAGAAAUUGGGGAAAAAUGGGGAGAAAUGGGCAAAAAUUGGGUGAAAAAUGAGCGAAAAAUGAGUGAGAAAUGGGUGAGAAAUGGGGGAAAAAUGAGCAAAAAAUUGG
Malurus melanocephalus (red-backed fairy wren) is the source of this 759-nucleotide long non-coding RNA. RefSeq lists it as uncharacterized. The transcript is spliced from 2 exons. The record is from RefSeq and is a predicted model, not a curated record. Lineage: Eukaryota; Metazoa; Chordata; Aves; Passeriformes; Maluridae.